RNAcentral lists this unclassified non-coding RNA (382 nucleotides) under fungal sp. RNAcentral's name for it is "partial internal transcribed spacer region". The stretch from base 1 to 46 matches the Rfam family "Eukaryotic small subunit ribosomal RNA", at positions 1786 to 1831 of the family's 1831-position model. The record is from RNAcentral. Lineage: Eukaryota; Fungi.
AAGUCGUAACAAGGUUUCCGUAGGUGAACCUGCGGAAGGAUCAUUAACACGUAUCCAAACGUUAACCCCCUGUGAACCUUCAAUGUGCUCGUACACUUUGUGGUAAAUCAUCGCCGAACAGUUUUGAUUCUGGGACUUCCUCAAAGAGUGUGCAUGUUGCGCGAGGCAAGUGGCCUGGCAUUCCCAAGCAGUUAAUGUCUGAAAGUGUCAUUGGCUGUGUAAGGAUGACGCAGUAACGAUCGUUGGAGGCCGACACGGCCGACGACCGGGUCACCGGGCGCAAGCCCCUUUAUCACCACUUGAUGCAUGACAGACGCGCCAGCGCUUAAUUGUGCGGCGACCAAAAACCGAACAACUGUUAACAAUGGAUAUCUUGGUUCUC